GAUGAACGCUGGCGGUAUGCUUAACACAUGCAAGUCGAACGGACUCUUCGGAGUUACUGGCGGACGGGUGAGUAACGCGUGGAAAUCUGGCUUUGGGUUUGGGACAACCACUGGAAACGGUGGCUAAUACCGGCUGUGCCACGGGGUAAAAGAGAAGUUGCCUGAAGAUGAGCUCGCGUCUGAUUAGCUAGUUGGUGAGGUAAAGGCUCACCAAGGCAGCGAGCAGUAGCUGGUCUGAGAGGAUGACCAGCCACACUGGGACUGAGAGGCGGCACAGUCUCCUACGGGAGGCAGCAGUGGGGAAUUUUCCGCAAUGGGCGAAAGCCUGACGGAGGAAUACCGCGUGAGGGAAGAAGGCUCUUGGGUUGUAAACCUCUUUUCUUAGGGAAGAACAAAAUGACGGUACCUAAGGAAUCAGCAUCGGCUAACUCCGUG
This 435-nucleotide ribosomal RNA is filed under the name uncultured bacterium. RNAcentral describes it as "partial 16S ribosomal RNA". It matches the Rfam family "Bacterial small subunit ribosomal RNA", at positions 28 to 507 of the family's 1533-position model. The record is from RNAcentral.